ACGAACGCUGGCGGCAGGCUUAACACAUGCAAGUCGAGCGAGGACUUCGGUCCUAGCGGCGGACGGGUUAGUAACGCGUGGGAACGUGCCCCUUUCUUCGGAAUAGCCUCGGGAAACUGGGAGUAAUGCCGGAUACGCCCCUUACGGGGGAAAGAUUUAUCGGAGAGGGAUCGGCCCGCGUUGGAUUAGGUAGUUGGUGGGGUAAUGGCCUACCAAGCCGACGAUCCAUAGCUGGUUUGAGAGGAUGAUCAGCAACACUGGGACUGAGACACGGCCCAGACUCCUACGGGAGGCAGCAGUGGGGAAUCUUGGACAAUGGGGGCAACCCUGAUCCAGCCAUGCCGCGUGAGCGAUGAAGGCCUUAGGGUUGUAAAGCUCUUUCAGCGGGGAAGAUAAUGACGGUACCCGCAGAAGAAGCCCCGGCUAACUCCGU
Molecule: ribosomal RNA, 433 nt
Filed under: uncultured bacterium
Lineage: Bacteria
Description: bacterial SSU rRNA
Rfam family: Bacterial small subunit ribosomal RNA
Source: RNAcentral